CUGACAACCCUGAACACUGAAGUCCUUUCUUUGGCCACAGAAUAGGUGCAGCCUGGGCAGUGGCAGAGCAAGCUUCCCUCACGCCACCCCCAUUGACGUGACUUAGCCCCAGCUGGAGCCUCACCUGCAGGGGCAAAAGAGAAAUGGAGUCUCUGUGGCAAUUCAAUCCUGGGCCUCU
RNAcentral lists this small RNA (178 nucleotides) under Chrysemys picta bellii (western painted turtle). RNAcentral's name for it is "TUC338 (ENSCPBG00000002094.1)". The record is from RNAcentral. Lineage: Eukaryota; Metazoa; Chordata; Testudines; Emydidae.